GGAGAGGUGUCCGAGUGGCUGAAGGAGCACGCCUGGAAAGCGUGUAUACAGGAAACUGUAUCGAGGGUUCGAAUCCCUCUCUCUCCGCCA
This 90-nucleotide transfer RNA is filed under the name Allohahella marinimesophila. Its description in RNAcentral is "tRNA-Ser". It matches the Rfam family "tRNA". From Rfam's summary of the family: Transfer RNA (tRNA) molecules are approximately 80 nucleotides in length. Their secondary structure includes four short double-helical elements and three loops (D, anti-codon, and T loops). The record is from RNAcentral. RNAcentral also lists the same sequence under 2 other names. Lineage: Bacteria; Pseudomonadati; Pseudomonadota; Gammaproteobacteria; Oceanospirillales; Hahellaceae.